AUGUUCUUAAACUUGUCACUUUGAUAUUUGUUUGGUCCAAGAUACCAUAGAGAAAUUGAAUGGCAGAUGAAAUAGGCAGAAGGGAUUGCUUGUGGUAACAUUAAUGGAAGGUAACCUGUGGCAUCUUCAAAAGUACUACUGAAGAUUUCUGAAAAAUUCAGUUGUGCACUUCAGACUACUGAGUUAUAGGGUUAGGUCUACUUUCAAAUAGUAGCAAUUGUGUGAAUGAAGAGUUUCUCCAGGAGAAAGAGGGGAAAGGGAACUGAACCAUUGCCACUACUUGUGUUAUAUUUUUCACAGGAAGGAUGAUAAAAUGUGAGUGUACUAUUAAUUGAAUUAGAUCCAUUUAUAUCAUCAUUAGGCUGCAAGUGCCUAUAUUUGUUAUCUGAACUAUUUUAUUGGAUGCCAAAGUUAGCCUCUUAUACCUGAUGGAGGAAUACCAUACAAACCAUUGUUCUGCUUUUUUUUUUUUUUGCCAUAUCUUAAGCUAUUUCCACCUGAGAGCGCACCUUGUUCCUUAUUUUCGGUCCACAAUAAAUUCCAAAACUUCAGCAUUGCUCCCUCAUUCUGCGUAGAUUGUGUGCUGUAGAUAUUGGUGCUUGAUGGCUUGGCAUCAGUGGUGAACUUUGCUCCCUGCAAAAUGCUGUUUUGGGGGAGUCAAAGAAUUCCCCAGAACAGAAUGGGAAAUGUUGUUGUGAGCUGUCAGAGGAAGGAGAAACUGUCAGAGAUCAUAUCCUCUCCCUUCUUCCAGCUGGAGCUUCUCUUGGAUUGUUGUCUUCUCUAUGGAUAGAAAUAUGCCCCCUACCACUUUUUUUAAUCUGAGAAGGGAUUCUGGAUCCAGCCCAGUAGAUUUUGAAGGAUGUUGCUAGGUUCAGUGUGUUCACCCAGACGCCAGAAAUUGGAUUCAAUUCAGUUGCCAAAAUCUUGUGGACCAAAACAGUGAAAAUAAUCAGAGACAAGUUUUGCAAUCUAAUUUUUUUACUACAGGAACUUUGUCACUGGCUUGUUAAGAAGAGGUAGCAAUUUUUGAUCAAUUUAGAAUGUAUCCAGCUAAAUAUCACAAUGAUCCUAAUACAUUUAUAGUGGCUCAGAAUAGUUUCCUUAAAACUAUAUUGUGGCACCAUUUAAGUUAGACUUAAUGGCCCAGCCGUUCUGUAUAAGGUCUUGUUGCAUUCCCAUAGAAUGAUAUAGAGCAGUUCUUAGAGAAAAGUCUUGAGAUGUCUUGGAUAUUGCUCUACAUAUAGAAGAGUCCAGUUAGACUUCCUUAUUGUUGGAAUAGCCUCAAUCUCAAGUCAUUUUCCAGUCUACGGUGCCGACACGUAUUUGCCUAAUUGGCAGACCAUCGGUUCUGUUGAAACAUGACUUAAGCUCUAUCUUGGCUUCUAAUUCAGCCCCCUCUCUUUUUAAUGCCUGCUUACCACCAUGGUUUGCUGUACUUGGUUUGAAACUGCCAGCAACUUGAGGCACAGACAUAGGGCAAAAUGAAUCCAGAAUAACAAACAACCUAAUUCUUUGUUUCAGUGAGUUUGUUAUUCAGAAGUAAGGACGAACACUUGCAAAUGGCCUUUCAGGGAAUGACUUUAAAAUAAUUGACAGUGUAACAGUGACAAACCAGUAGCUGUGUGAUGGCAGCUUGAUAUACAGAUAGAUUUGUGGGGUGAGCACUUUGGGUGCACAGCUCAUUGUGUGGAAGUGUUGGGUUCCCCAACCCCCAUACACACCCGUGCAAAACAUUCUUACUCAUUUUAGCAGCUUUGUGAGAAUGUUGAGACUUCUGUGGUGAGCUGCUGCCUAUGAUUUGGGUUGCCAUAUGCAACAGCCUGUCAAUGGGCAUGGAUUUCAGGCAGCCAUCACACUGCUGAUUGGAGUACAGGCUCCGCCAUGAAAUGUUCAUUAAUUCCUUAUUCCAGCUGCUCAGUCUUUGACUGAUCUCUGUUUAGCUGGCGUGAUUUACUUUAGACGACAGAGGUGACUGAUACAGGAAAAGCCAAGUUGAUCAGUAGAGUUGCGGUCAAUCUUUUGAUUUGACAACUUCUUUAACAUUCUUUGUUUCUGUAUCACAUUGUACGUUUCUUUUUGAAGUUGAAGAAUAAAAGGUAUUACGCACUUACAUAACAAGGAAGAUUAAAAUAAGACCAGCUCUUAUAUUUGAUCUGGGCUAAUCCUUCACUAUAAGGAAUAGUAUUGAACCCAAAGGGAUGAGAAGUAAUAGCUCACUUUUUCAAUAAAAGUGUCUUGCAUUGUCUGAAUAUGUUUCGUUUUGGCAUUGUAGAAAACUCAUCUGUUGCCAUUAAUGUUGCGUCCUCGAAAUGAUAGCACUGUUGAGCUUCUUCCUGGGUUUUACUACUGUUUUCCUCUCUUGUGCUCUUUAUGAUCUGUAAGCACUACCAGAACAUCUAGUCUAUUUAGUUCACUUAAGAUCUAUUUAUUUAUCAAACCCUGUACCCUACGCCAUUUAAUGAAGCUGUAACAUUCUCUGUGAUGCUUGGGGUGUCUGUAAAUUUGUGAAGCUGCUGCAUGUCAGUCUGUUCAUAAGUAUAAAACAUUACUUGUAUCAUAAUUGAUCCUAUUUGGUUUUUAUUCAUGGUGUUGUUUUUCAAAUUGUUGUAUUUUGACAAAUGGUUUCUAAAAGCAGACGGGAAUAAUUGCCUGUCUAACACAACAGUGUCUGCUGAGUACUGUGUUAUUUCAGUGUCUGAAAUUUGCACAAAGUGCGUAUUGUUGAACUAGGGAACAAGGUCUUUACCUUUCUUUGGGUUUCUUACAUUGUUUGCACCAUUGAAUAUAUGACACUGCAUCCAAUAGCAUGUGAAGGUUUUAAAAAUCCCAAAUAGGCUUACUGGUGUUCCUGAAGAAUUGAUAUGGCACAAUAUGCUUAAUCCUGUUCCUCUAUUCCCUGCUUCUCAUAUGGAUGACAAUUCUACCAUAACCUUGAUGCUCAGAACAUUUGCCUGCUUUCCAGACCUCUCAGUCACUUGACAAAAUGUCCUUUAUAACUUAAUAUUGACACUAAAUUGAACAGAGACUCCAUCAUGUACAAAGCAUAUUAUAUGUUGCUCCAGAGCUUAGAAGUUUGGGGUGAGUGAGUUUGAAGUUGGUUUAUAAACAAGUAAAAAUGUUGCAUUUUCAUUGCACUUCAUUCAUUGUCUUUCAAAUUUUUUUCCUUGGAAGAAAGCAACUGAAAGCUUUAAAAGCAGGAUUAGCUUGUUGCACCAUGUAGUUCAAAAGGGUGCUCACAUUGUCUGAGUUUAACAACAGCCUUGCAUAGGUUUAGCUCCCUGAUCAGUCCGUUGAGAGAUUUAUUAAGAUAAAUAGGAGAAAAACAAUAGAAUUUGCUCAAGCAGCAAGGAAAAUUGUUAAUUCAGUGUAGGCUAUAAAAAUGCUCUGGUACUUUGGUACAACCGUGCAAAUAACAGGUAAUGUUUAGAUUCCAUACAUAGAAGUUGUGCAAAAGUAGCCUGAAGGAAUGAAAGUUGGUUUCGAAAAGAAGUAUCCCAAUUGCUGAGAACUUAACAACUCCAACUUACUUACUUACUUACUUAGGUGAUCCUCAUUGUCCAAGUAGGAUAGUCUUCCAACUCCAACAUGUACAAAACAAGUGUGUAAAAUAAAUUAAAAUCAAAAGUCAUGGAACCAGAUCACGUCAUCCAAUUCUUAGCAGGAAUACAAGAAUUUAGACUACUGUUUGAUAAAGGUAUAAAUGAAUGCUGAUAUAGAAAUGGCAGAUACAUUACAUGAAUUUUUUGCAUCCAUCCUUUACUGCAGUUAAGGACGCAUCCUGUGCUUGCCACGUUGCUCUCCAACCCUACUAUUGCAAACCUGUCAAAUAGAGGUGGAAAAUUAGUCCAAAAUGUUAAGAGUGUAUGUCGGCUGCUACACUGGAUAUCCCUCGCCAAAAAACUUCUAUGCAAAACUGUUCCGCUUUGGCCUCUGAUUCCCAAAUGCUGCGAGGCACAAGUAUAUGACCAACAUCACCCAUCCCCUUCUUAUGAAGUUCCUGCUCCUGGAGGACAACUGCUGGAAUAAGUGGACCUCAGUCAUAUCCAUUGUGGGAGUUGUAAAGCUGUUAAUAGUGAUCUUUGCUCAACAUGACAGCAUGGCCAUGUUCUGAAUUGGUAUAAUGAUUAAACUGUUAAAAAUAAAGAAAA
Anolis sagrei ordinatus is the source of this 4148-nucleotide non-coding RNA. Lineage: Eukaryota; Metazoa; Chordata; Lepidosauria; Squamata; Anolidae. The record is from RefSeq and is a predicted model, not a curated record.